RNAcentral lists this RNase P RNA (400 nucleotides) under Planctomycetota bacterium. RNAcentral's name for it is "Planctomycetes bacterium (bioreactor metagenome) RNase P RNA component class A". It matches the Rfam family "Bacterial RNase P class A". From Rfam's summary of the family: Ribonuclease P (RNase P) is a ubiquitous endoribonuclease, found in archaea, bacteria and eukarya as well as chloroplasts and mitochondria. Its best characterised activity is the generation of mature 5'-ends of tRNAs by cleaving the 5'-leader elements of precursor-tRNAs. Cellular RNase Ps are ribonucleoproteins. The record is from RNAcentral. Lineage: Bacteria; Pseudomonadati; Planctomycetota. RNAcentral also lists the same sequence under 1 other name.
UGAGAGGCCCAGGCGGCCGUUCCGCUGGGCUCCUCCGGGGGCGCGGCGGAGAGGAAAGUCCGGACUCCAGGGGUCGAGGUGGUUGUCAACGACAACCGGUCGUGAGGCCCGGGACAGUGCCACAGAAAACAAACCGCCGGCGUCCGACGGACGCAGGUAAGGGUGAAACGGUGCGGUAAGAGCGCACCGCGCCGCGGGUGACCGCGGUGGCAGGGCAAACCCCACCUGGAGAAAGACCAAAUAGGGAAGGACGAGGUCGGCAACGGCCUCCGGCGCGACCCCCGCCGUGUGCCUUCCGGGUAGGUCGUUCGAGGCCGACCGCGAGGUCGGUCCCAGAGAAAGGGUCGCCACGCCUCCGCGAGGGGGCGGACAGGAUCCGGCUUAUCGGGCCUCUCACGCU